RNAcentral lists this ribosomal RNA (210 nucleotides) under uncultured bacterium. RNAcentral describes it as "partial 16S ribosomal RNA". It matches the Rfam family "Bacterial small subunit ribosomal RNA", at positions 568 to 774 of the family's 1533-position model. The record is from RNAcentral.
CGUGUAGGCGGCCUGUUAAGUCUGGAGUGAAAGUCCUGCUUUCGAAGGUGGGAAUUGCUUUGGAGACUGGCGGGCUUGAGUGCGGAAGAGGUAAGUGGAAUUCCCAGUGUAGCGGUGAAAUGCGUAGAGAUUGGGAGGAACACCAGUGGCGAAGGCGACUUACUGGGCCGUAACUGACGCUGAGGCGCGAAAGCGUGGGGGAGCGGAACA